GGAGGAGGAGGGUCUCGCUUGAUGCUAGUGUGGACCGAUCAAAGUUCAGUAGCACCUGCAGAUGGAGAAAGUUUCUUCACUUUGGCUGCUCUUUUCAACCUCACUGCUGAUCUGCACAACAAACCAAGCUCGUCUGACUGUGAGUCCCAGCAGCUCUCAGGUCUUUAAA
Molecule: non-coding RNA, 169 nt
Organism: Maylandia zebra (zebra mbuna)
Lineage: Eukaryota; Metazoa; Chordata; Actinopteri; Cichliformes; Cichlidae
Source: RefSeq, a predicted model, not a curated record